CAAUCACUGCACCACUCUGAACUAACGAAACGAACCAAAUCCCUCCCAAGCAUGCUACAGUUACUGCAUCCUUCGAAACCUUCUUCAAUAGAGCACAUCCCCCCCUUACUCCCAUACAAAUAUCCAAGGUAUGCAAAUGGCAUAUAACUCGAUCACAAUCAACCAAUCAAAAUAAAACACUCAUACCGAUAAUGAUGCAGAACCAUAACAAUGAAAUCAUGCACAAAAUAAAAGAACUGAGAAUGGAAAUUGCAUACCUGCAACGUCCGGCGAUGCUCGCGUCUCCAAAGUCGUCAUCUGGAAAGCCCUGCUCCCUGCUGCAGGUGCCUCUACCCGGCCCUGACGGCCAUCUGCGAUCCUCAAGGUUGCAGGGGCGGGUGCCAUCACCCGUCCUGCUGAAGACAAACUGGGGCACUGGGCCUUCUUGUGGCCCCGCUGGUUGCAAUGAAAACAUAUCAUGUCUGAUCCCUGCGCGGCGGUAACAGUACAAUCCCUGCUAAAAUGACCAGUCCGACCGCACUUGAAGCAGCCAGACUCACCACCGCUACCACUCCUGCACGCGCCCCCGUGCACCUUGCCACACUUCCCAUAUCGGCUACGGUCUUGAUAAUCCCUCGAUCUCGAAUCCGAUCCCUUGGGCCUUUUGCCCGAACCCGCUGAUACCUGAACCUCAUCCGGCUUCCUCUUCCGGAUCUGCUCCAAAUCAAUUUCCCUUUCCCUAGCCCGAGAAAUCAUAUCUUCCAGCGUCUUACAGCUGGACCUGCUCACGAACUCCCUGAUGUCGUCCCUCAACAUCUCAUGGUACCGAGCCUUCUUCAUCUCCUCAUCCGCUACAUACUGCGGUACAAGAAGAGCCCUCUCCCUGAACUUGGCGGUGAUCUCCGCCACAGUCUCAGUAGUCUGCGUCAAAUCCUGAAACUCUCGUGCCAGCUGCUGCACCUCAAUAAUCGGCGAAAACUCCGCCCUGAACCUGGCCGAGAAAUCGCUCCAAGUCAUCGCGUCCAACGCGGCAUCAUCCCCCAAAGCAUGACCAAUCUCCUCCCACCAAUCCCUCGCUCUGUCCUUCAGAAGACAGGAGGCGAGUCUAACCUUGUCCCCCUCGGGACACUUGCUCGUACGAAAAGCGUUGGCAACAUCAGCCAACCAUCUGCUGCUAGCAAUGGGGUCCCUAGCCCCAUGAUAGUCUGGUGCCCCGCAGGCUCUGAACUCUCGAAAUGUCAAGGUACGCGCUCCCAUCAAUGCCAUCAUCUCAGUACGGAAGGCUCCCAGCCUCUCCUCCAAGAUCUCCAGUAUGCCCUCCUUGACCGUGCCAAAGAUCACAGGAGUCUGAGCUAGAAUACUGCGCGUAACCUCAGCUGAUAUCAACUCCCUCAUCCGCUCCUCGAGCUGCUCGGUCCCUGAACCCGAGGCUGAUCCCUCUCCGGCGCCUGAUCCGCCCGCUGGUCUCUCUCGCAAUGUCACCAUGCUGAAAAUAUACCACAACCACAAUCAGAAUACCCAUCAUUGAUACAAGAUCAAACAUGCCCUACCAGGUUCCCGGUCUUGCCUCUGCCCUUCCUGAAUCGAGUACGGAUCCUCUGCUUUCAGUAGUACGGGCCCAUACUACCUUCCACAUCUAUCCGUACUUUCCUCAGGAAUUGCUUUGACUCCACCAGGUCCCUUAACCACUCAUACUGCUCCCAACUCUAUCUCAUCCUAGGCUUACCCUAGGGAAACCUCUAACUCAACUCAAACCAGUCCUCAGCUGCUGAAGGUCUCCUUGUGAUGCCAAUUAGCCAUCACCUGGAUACCAUCACAUGCGACGAGGCUCAGAUAAUCCUUCAAGUAAAGGACUCGUCCCUACAACGGUUAGACUCAAACGAGAGCUGCGCAAUAGGGCCAAUUCCAGUACUCUGAGAUUAUUCAACCCUGAUCACAUGUGACGUAACGUAUCCAUCUAAUGGCUAACUCCCAUCACUCAAAAUCCCACAAUGCACAAAGCAAGCAGCAUUCGAACAAGGGGAAAAUCUAACCACAACAUACUCAAGCAAUCAUAUCCACGUAGCAAGAAUCUGAACUAGCAUGCAACACAAACUCAUAAACUCAGGCAUAACCUAAACAGGCUAUCCUACUACUGUCUAAUCAGCACUAUCAUGCAGCUCAAAAGCACAAAUAACAGGCACAUAAGGCAUCAUCCCUAGAUCCUUAGUCCUAUUCUAGCAUGCUGUUCUAUCAACUGAUAAUCAUAACAUAAACUUGUAUGGGUAUUUUGGGGUACUUACUUGAGCUCGGUUGAUUGCAUGCACCACACCUCUUUUCUCUUUUCAAAGUUCUUUUCUUUCUGAAUUCUUUUUGCUUUUCUAAAACUGUUUUUCAUUCUCAAAAUUCUUUUUACAAAACUGUCUUUUCACAUUUUGAAAACUUUUCAUCCGACCCCUCAGUUUGAGUUCAGGCACACCCGAGAGUAUGCCCGAAUCCCUCAAACCAAGGCUCUGAUACCAACUUGUAACAUCCCAAAAUUUAAGACCAAAAAUUUCUUUUUAAUAAAACAUUACUUUAACCAAAGACAUCAUUCCAAAACAUAAUCUGAGUAUAGGUUUUCAAAACACAUGUUUAUUAUCAGAGUAAACAUUCCCAGGUUGACUAAUCUAUGGUGUGUGCCAUGCGAUCACCCCGAGCUCCUCCCUCCGCUACCGGAAGUACCUGAAAACAAAACUGAAAACCGUAAGCACGAAGCUUAGUGAGUUCCCCACCUUACCACAUACCAUGCAUAACCACAUACUGCACAUACUGGGCCACGCCCGCUAUCCGGGGCCUCGCCCCCUACUUCGGGCCUCGCCCGCUACAACGGCCUCGCCGCUCCAGGCCCCGCCUGGCUUCGAGCCCCGCUCGGAUACAGAUCUGUUUCACUUAGGCCUCGCCUGUCACAGGGCCUCGCCCUCUAACAUAUAAUAGCACAUAAACAUAUCACAUAACAUUACAUAAACUAAACAUAUACUAACAACUCUUGCUCUAAGGCCUCGCCUAUCUCUGGGCCCCGCCCGAGUUCUGCUACUGAUGAGUCAUGGAACCUCGUCCAUACUCCUGCUGAUAGUGAGGUUCGGGCCCAGCCCACCCUCACUCCUUUCCUAACUUGGGCCUCGCCCCUGCUCUGCUGCUACUGAGAUGUGGAACACCAUCCACACUCUGCUAUUGGUGAGAUACGGGACCUCGCCCUCUCUCACCUCCCUACCAGGCACAUACAAGUAUCACACAGACAACAAGUAUAAACUAUCACAUAAACCGCUCCUUGGGCACCCGCCCUCUGUCAUUGGACCUCGUCCAAAUAUCAUACUAGCAUACUGUGCCUAGGGCUAACCCCCGGGUCUUCUACUCAUAACUACAUGGGCCGGCAUUGUGGCCGUAGACCCAUUCAUACAAAGGGAAACUCACCUGAUACUGCUGAACUGCUGCUGCUAACCCCUUUGACCGCUACCUGACCGCUAACUCCGAACUGCUGCUCCGCUAGCUCCCCGAGCUACCAAUAUCAACAUAACACUUAGUCUAACUGACCUUCAAAGGUCAACCAAGUCAACUCUGGUCAAAGUCAACGUCCUGGUCAAAGUCAACCUUCCAGGUCAACCCUACUCGUCGAGUCACCCUACUGACUCGCCGAGUUCAUAAUUCCAGAGUCCUUCCACUCGCGACUCUACUCGCCGAGUCAGCCCCUGACUCGCCGAGUUUACUGAUUCCCGAUUCCUGUCCUGACCAACUCACUGAGUCCUGGCUCGACUCGCUGACUCGAGUCUUAACUCGAAGGGUUUGGGACCACUCGACCUGACUCGCCGAGUCUAAGAACAGACUCGCCGAGCACACGACAAACUUCAUCCAACUCGACGAGUUGUUCAUCCAACUCGCCGAGUUCAUGCCCAUCUUCAUCCGACUCGACGAGCUGUUCAUCCCACUCGUCGAGUUCCUCCUCAUCUUCAAGCUACUCGCCGAGUCCACUCGAAGGACUCGUCGAGUCCACUAAGAUCCACUUACAUGCAGAGGACUUCCGAGUCAUGCAUGAGCUCCAAACUAUAGAUCUACCCUCCCCAAGCCUAUUUCCCACGUAAAGUUGCAAACUUUACGUGUAGAGAGUGAGAUCUAGGCAAAAUACACCCAUAGCUAGGGUUUAGGACCAAGAGACUCCAAUUUCCACCCAAUGGCUGAUACUUUAUGGGAUUACAUACCAAAAUAAACAUGGAUCUGAGGUAGCAACCUCAGAUCUGGACCUCAAGCUCAAGAUUGGUCUUAAACAUGGCUUAAAAGCCCCAAAACUCAUAACCAAGGAAAAAUAUGGAGGAGAGAAACGAAUUGAUACCUUCCAAUGCUCUGAAAUGCUUCCCAAACUUCAGAUCCAAAGCCACUCCCUGAUGCUUCAAGGAUUCCCACUCCUUCUUCUUCCUUAAACCCACUCAAAAAUGGCUAGAAGCUUGAAUGAACACAAUGGGGGCUUAAGGUGCGGCGUUCUGGGUGCAAGAGGCUGUAAAGGAGCCCUAGGAAGAAGAUUAAGAUGCUUAAAUAGGCUCCAAGCCCCGGAUUUAGGGUUUUCCUCGCACAGACCAGACUCGCCGAGUCCACUUGGCCGACUCGUCGAGUUGGUCACUUUCUUAUCGACCCGGAUCCCGCUCCGACUCGCCGAGUCCUUCCUUUGACUCGUCGAGUCCCUCUUAAAUUUAGGGUUUCCUUUACUUUCUUGGCUUUCAAAAUCCUGGGUGUUACAACUCUCCCCCACUUAAACUGAACUUCGUCCUCGAAGUUUACCAUGGCCCACCGCCUGCGAUCUGCCUCCAAUACCCAACACCAGCCGCCUACCUGCGCUGGUCUUCCACCAAUACUGCACUGAACCCUCAGAGGUUCUCCACUUCUUUCCUUGCACAAUUCCCUUGCCUUCCCAAGGCAAAGCCUCAUAACCGACUUUUCCUUUGACACUGUGAAGGUCCUAUCCUUCACUAACUCCAUCACCUCCCUGCUAUUCCCAGAACGGGUCAUCACCGUCAGCACUCACUGACACUCCUUCCUGCCAACACUUGGUGUCGAGCACCCCUCGACUCAACUAACUGAACUCCACCAUACGCUGCAUACUCGCACUGCCACCGACUGGCAAUUCAACUAUUCCCCGACUGACUUCCUGAUAAACCGGGACCGCCCUGGUCCCUACCAACCUAUCAAUGACUGGAUUACCAGCUCCCACCGGUAGCUAGUCCCAACACCAUCACUGGUCGCUCUCAGCGACUUCCAAAGAAACCUCGACCACCUAUAACUGCUCAAUCAAUCCUGCCAUCCAGGCACGACAAACCUGGGAUCCCCGAUCCCCUCAUCUUGACACUAAGGUCCCUACCAGGUCCCACCUGCACUGCUAAAACUCACGAGCCUCGCCCACGGGUCCCACCCGCCUCUAUCCUUCUAGUCUCACUAGUCUAGUCACUCUCGCUCGGGCCUAGCCCACGGGUCUCACCCAACCAUACUACUGAGCAACCCUGCUCCCAGGUCUCAUCUACACUGCUAAUCUCAUACGGGCCUCGCCCACGGGUCUCACCCAACUAUAUCCUGGAGCGGCCUCUCCCAAGGUCUCACCUCUCUAGAGCUAUACAGGCAACUCCCUACUACUCUCAUCCACUACCCAUUCCUGAUCCCUACCUGAUCACUAGGAGAUAAGGGCCUCGCCCCGACUCCGCUAACGAAACUACGAAGGAAUGCUACGGCUUACCCGCAGUCUUACAUCACCGACCAUUGCCGACUGCUAGUGAAUGCUACGGCUGCCCCGUAGUCUUACAACACUCCCUACCACUGACUGCUAAUACGAAGGCACCCACGUGCCAUCGGCUUCUCAAGAUCCUUAUUUCCGACUCCCGCGAGUCCUUCAGGUGAUCCACAACCUGAAAUCUCAACCAUAACUAAUCAAUACCAUCACACGCGCUAGCUGAUGUGGAGUUUCUCAAACUCCCAACCCUGAAAUCCUCAAUCCAUCAAACGCUGAACUACUUCUCUUCCCUCUCGGAGGUCACGUACUCGUUCUGGGUCUGCGUGCUCCUCUCUGGGCACACCCGGAGGAUUCUCCCCCACUUCGAUCCUGCUUACCCCUUGCUGCUCAAUACUCAAAGAGAUCCCGAUCUUUGCUACCAUUCCAUAACCCAUCUACUGAGGAACCCAAGCCCGCCAUAGCUAGGGAUUUAGCCAAUCCAUCACAAUCACUGCACCACUCCGAACUAGCGAAACGUACCAAAUCCCUCCCAAGCAUGCUACAGUUACUGCAUCCUUCGAAACCUUCUUCAAUAGAGCACAUCCCCCUAACUACCAUACAAAUAUCCAAGGUAUGCAGAUGGCAUAUAACUCGAUCACAAUCAACCAAUCAAAAUAAAAUACUCAUACCGAUAAUGAUGCAGAACCAUAACAAUGAAAUCAUGCACAAAAUAAAAGAACUGAGAAUGGAAAUUGCAUACCUGCAACGUCCGGCGAUGCUCGCGCCUCCAAGGUCGUCAUCUGAAAAGCCCUGCUCCCUACCGCAGGUGCCUCUACCCG
This 6525-nucleotide long non-coding RNA is filed under the name Lactuca sativa (garden lettuce). RNAcentral describes it as "long non-coding RNA (LSAT_LNC001868)". Lineage: Eukaryota; Viridiplantae; Streptophyta; Magnoliopsida; Asterales; Asteraceae. The record is from RNAcentral.